UCUCCGUAGGUGAACCUGCGGAAGGAUCAUUAUUGAAUAUUCUUGAUGGGUUGUAGCUGGCUCUCCGGGGCAUGUGCACACUUGUCUUGACUUUAUUCGUCCACCUGUGCACCUUUUGUAGUCUUGGGGAUUGAGAGCAAGUCGACUAUCGGAUGGCUAAGGCCUUUCCGGACGUGAGGAUUGCUGAGUGCGAAAGCAUACAGCUCUUCUUAAAUGACUUGUAAUAUCUCUUCCUCGAGUACUAUGUAUUCAUAUACCACAUAGUAUGUUGUAGAAUGUGAUCAAUGGGCCUAUGUGCCUAUAAUAAUGAUAUACAACUUUCAGCAACGGAUCUCUUGGCUCUC
This 344-nucleotide unclassified non-coding RNA is filed under the name plant metagenome. RNAcentral's name for it is "partial contains small subunit ribosomal RNA, internal transcribed spacer 1, and 5.8S ribosomal RNA". The record is from RNAcentral.